GAGUUUGAUAUGGCUCAGGACGAACGCUGGCGGCGUGCUUAACACAUGCAAGUCACGGGGGCUGGGCAACCAGCAACCGGCGAACGGGUGCGUAACACGUGAGCGACCUGCCGAUCCGCGGGGGAUAGCCGGCCCAACGGCCGGGUAAUACCGCAUACGCUGCCCCCCCCACCUGGGGGGGGCAGGAAACCUCCGGGGCGGACCGAGGGGCUCGCGGCCUAUCAGCUCGUUGGCGGGGUAACGGCCCACCAAGGCGACGACGGGUAGCUGGUCUGAGAGGAUGGCCAGCCACAUUGGGACUGAGAGACGGCCCAGACUCCUACGGGAGGCAGCAGUGGGGAAUCUUGCGCAAUGGUCUAACGACUGACGCAGCGACGCCGCGUGUGGGAGGACGCCCCUCGGGGUGUAAACCACUGUUGCCCGGGACGAACGGGCGGUUUCGACCGCCGUGACGGUACCGGGUGAGGAAGCACCGGCUAACUCCGUGCCAGCAGCCGCGGUAAUACGGAGGGUGCGAGCGUUGUCCGGAAUCACUGGGCGUAAAGGGCGCGUAGGCGGCGGCUUAAGCGCGCGGUGAAAGCCCGGGGCUCAACCCCGGGUCGGCCGUGCGGACUGAGCGGCUCGAGCACUGUAGAGGCGGGUGGAACUCCGGGUGUAGCGGUGGAAUGCGUAGAGAUCCGGAAGAACACCGGUGGCGAAGGCGGCCCGCUGGGCAGUGGCUGACGCUGAGGCGCGACAGCGUG
Molecule: ribosomal RNA, 743 nt
Filed under: uncultured bacterium
Lineage: Bacteria
Description: bacterial SSU rRNA
Rfam family: Bacterial small subunit ribosomal RNA
Source: RNAcentral